This 393-nucleotide ribosomal RNA is filed under the name uncultured bacterium. RNAcentral describes it as "partial 16S ribosomal RNA". It matches the Rfam family "Bacterial small subunit ribosomal RNA", at positions 523 to 918 of the family's 1533-position model. The record is from RNAcentral.
AUACGGAGGAUCCGAGCGUUAUCCGGAUUUAUUGGGUUUAAAGGGAGCGUAGGCGGGAGAUCAAGUCAGCUGUGAAAUGUAGAUGCUCAACAUCUGCACUGCAGUUGAAACUGGUUUUCUUGAGUGCGUAAGGGGCAGGCGGAAUUCGUCGUGUAGCGGUGAAAUGCUUAGAUAUGACGAAGAACUCCGAUCGCGAAGGCGGCCUGCCGGGCCGCGACUGACGCUGAAGCUCGAAGGUGCGGGUAUCGAACAGGAUUAGAUACCCUGGUAGUCCGCACAGUAAACGAUGGAUACUCGCUGUCGGCGAUAUACGGUCGGUGGCCAAGCGAAAGCGUUAAGUAUCCCACCUGGGGAGUACGCCGGCAACGGUGAAACUCAAAUGAAUUGACGGGG